UUUCUCCAUCCUAGUAAUCAAAUUUGAGCAAAAUCAAAUGGGGCUUUCUAUGAAAGUACCUUUUGUUGAUCUGAACGAGCUGGUAAUUUACAAAAUACCCUUCCUUUGUGAGGAAGGCUAAAGAAAAAAAGAAUCAGUAGCUUUUAAAGCUGGGCCUUAGUGGGACUCUAAAUGCAAUGAAAGCAGUCUGUGUUGAGAGACUGAAAUGCAUUUCAAAGCCAGGCCUGAUUCGGGGUACAAGGAAGAACAGACCUAUGUGCAUUUUGUAGGAAGAAAACUGUGAAUGGAAAAAGGAGAAGGGGAGAGAAACGGGGGAAAUCUGGAUAAUACAUUAAAGUAACCAUAAUUUUGGAGAUGCAUUCAUCUUAUUGAAAAUAUAUUUCCUCAUGGUUGUGAUUCCUCUUCACUCUUUUGAAUUUGGAAGGAUGGCAUACACAUCUGAAAAAUACCACUACUUCCUUCAUUGGACUGCAAGGUAUUUCUGUUUGGAAAAGUAAUGGAGUCCAGUCAACUUCAUUGAUCGCCAAGGACUGUCAAAAUUAUAAAACUUGCUGUGGAGCUCUGACAUGCCAGAAGCCGCUAGAAAAAGAAGUUUGACAUUCAGAAACUUAUCAAGAGGUUCUACUCUUUGGAUAGAGACCAAAAUCAUACUUUGAAAAAGCCUGACAGGUUUCUUCGGAAAAGUGGCCAUCCAUGGAAUGAAUGAAAUGUUCUCUUUCUAUUCCAAUCCAACUUAGAAAUAAUGUUUCAUUCAAGAUAAGGCUCGUGGCUUAGGAGAUUGUGACCUGGCUUGCAUCAUUCUAAGACUUCUAUCGUCUGUUUUCAAAACCCAAGGAGGACCUCCUUUUCUGUGUGAUAGUUCCUCAUGCUUUGCCAGCCACUGGGUCUUUAAGGAAGCUUGCCAAGAGUUCCCGGCUGGGAAGGACAGUUCGAGUUCAUCAUAGACAAUGAGCUGGCACCACAGUUUAAGUGACUCACCAACCUGGUUGCCCACUUCAAAAUGUCAAGAACCACACUAUCUAAUUGAAAGAACUGUGUUUUAGCAAAGUGUAAUUGGAUCGCCUGGCAAGAUCAUCUCAAACUAUGUCUCUGACCUUGCCUUUCAGUGGCUAUUUUGAGCACAAGAGGAGAAAGGAAAUGAUUCCUGAAUUAUAUCUUGUUUUUAAAAAUUAAGAUUAAUUAAUACUUGGUUUUAUGUUCAUUCCAUUGUAGGAACUUAGUGAUUAUUACAAAACAGUCAAAAUAGGUCAUAGCAAAAUGAACGUUUAAGAUUAGGUUAAAACAUUCCUCUGAAAUUUUAGUAUUCACUUUUGAAGUGUCAAUUACUAUAUUUCUGUAAUUUCUCAUUUUUUUCUUGGCUUAGAGUCAAGAUGAAAAAUGAUAUUUGAAUCAAAGACAUUGUUUUGUUAUAUAGCCACUCCUUUCUAAAAUGCAAAUCCACCCUCCCCUCACCAAUGCUUUAUUCUUUGUGCGCGCACACACACACACACACACACACACACACACACACACACACAGACAUACACAGAACCAGCACCCAAAUGGUAGAGGAGGUCCUUCCAAGACUUCUAGGACCUGGAUCAUGUAAGCAGUAGAUGAGAAAAUGAAGUAAGAGAUAUAGAGUAAUAACAAUAAAAGUCAAUGAUUUCAUUUUACAAAAAAGUCAUUGUGUAGUACUCAGAUAUUUUUAAGAGCAAGUAUUAUUAUGACUAAAGUAUAUUAUACUUCUAAAUUAUUAUGAUUCUCAUCUAAUUUCAAGCCACACAUAGGCGCCAUUUGAAAGCAUUUUGUGUUACAACCUAUCAACAAAAAUCAACUAAUAGUUUUAUAACGUGCAUAGGUUUACCCCAUGGGGAAUUAAAAUUUUUAUCUGCAAGUAUUUCUGUUGUUGUGAGACUUUAGGACAAGACAACAUUUGGUGUUAACAUAGAAGAAUAUUCUAUGGCUUUUUUAGCUUUAAAGUUCAUUACUCUAAAAUAAAGUACACGUGGUAUUUUUUUCUUCCUAGUGUUCUCUUAUUAUAUGUAGAGUAUUUUCGGUUGUUGUUUUUAACGUAUACAUUAUUUUUAUUAAGUCAUUUCAUAAAAGAUAAGAUAUAUACUAAUAGACCCUUGGUUUUCUCCUAAUUUAAUUAUUUCAAGUCAAGCAAAAUUGGGCAAUUUUCUUUCAGGAAAAAAAAAAUAUUGAGCAUGAUUUUGAGGUAAAACUGAUUAUUUACAGCAUCUUUUCUCUAAUAGGCUAACAUUUAUGAUGGAUCUUAUUUCAAAGUUGAUUAUUCUCAAAGAAAAGUGGAGAUAUUAGAAUUUCCGAGUAAAUUGCAUUGUUUUAAAAAGUACUUUAAUGCAUUGUUCACAUUGUUGCCAGCUAUUGACCAAAAAAGAGAAGAAGAAAAAAGAAAUAAAAAAAGCAGUAUCUGCUCCAAACGUCAAGUUUUGCAGUUUGAAAGACUUGUACAUUAUAAUUGUUUUUUUCUUUUUUGGAAAGCAGUAGUAAUUAAUACCAAAGGCAUAGACAAUUUAGGGCCAUAACCUCCCUUCCCCCCUCUCCACCUUUUUUUUUUUUUUUUUUUUUUUUUAACUUUAACCAUGAUAGGCAUCUCUGCAAGGUAGGUUUUAACAUAUUUUUUUCCUAAUUUUUUUCCCUCCAUUCAGUAAGAAGGAUAAGCUUUUAGAGUACCCAGUCACCGUGGUAACUGCCAAAAAAAUUCUCCUGAAGUUUGAAGAGGUCAGCUAGCAGGGUCAACAACCCUGGCCUCUCUCUGAGCUCGGUCUAGCAUGCCCCAGCCUGCGGUUGGAGUGUCAGGCCAGAUCUGACCCUGGGAGGUGGACCAUUCUGGCUCUGAUAUAAAUUUUUCGAGUCAGUUCAUGGCCUGGACUCUCCAGGUGGCCUCCAAAAUCGAUUUUGACCCCCUGACCCUGUCUCACGGAGGCAUAGCAUCCACCCUAAGUAAGGAUUUAGCCAGGAAUGACAGCUUUCCACUGAGUGUUAUUGGGGACAGUAUAAACAGUUUGGAAAGCAAGUAAGGAGGUGUGAGGGCUAGCAAUCAUUAAAAGCACAUUAAAAAACAAUUUUUAAAAAUCUUUAUUAGAGAAAGUUGUAAAUGCAUAUCUGUUACAGAAUUCCUGUGAUUUGUAGAGUUUUCUAGUCAGUUUUGAAUAUAAAUAGGUCACAUAUCUUUAUCUUUUUGCAUACUUUGUUACAAAUAUGCAAAUAAGAUAGGCAUACUUGCUACAAAAUAGGUACAGCAGGAAUGUAAUAUGUUCAGAAAAGGCAAACUGGUUAUUAAAACACAUUAACAGGUAAGGAGUUUCUAAUAUUUUAAAUACUAAAAUUUUACAUGUGUAUUUUGAAGUUUUUAAAAUGGAAAAAUAAAGAACCUUUAAAAAACCCAACAGUGUGGAAUAAAGAUAAACUUGUUGCACUCAAGGUACAUUUCUACUUUGUAAAGCAAGAAGCCAAUACACUCAGUUGGAUAAAAAUGAGAGAAAAAUUGUAAAUAUAGAGAGUUACAGCUUAUAGAGCUGAAGAGGAAUAAAACAAAAAAAAGUGUCUCUGAAUAACUUUAUGUAUUUUCAACAGUUUAAGAUAUCAGAAACUUGGAAAAUAAAUAUGAUAUAUAUAUAAAUCAUCA
This 3631-nucleotide long non-coding RNA is filed under the name Homo sapiens (human). RNAcentral's name for it is "PREDICTED lncRNA (TCONS_00189010)". The stretch from base 658 to 726 matches the Rfam family "SOX2 overlapping transcript exon 2". Lineage: Eukaryota; Metazoa; Chordata; Mammalia; Primates; Hominidae. The record is from RNAcentral.